Strigops habroptila (Kakapo) is the source of this 742-nucleotide long non-coding RNA. RefSeq lists it as uncharacterized. The record is from RefSeq and is a predicted model, not a curated record. The transcript has 3 exons. NCBI's taxonomy places the organism in Eukaryota, Metazoa, Chordata, Aves, Psittaciformes, Psittacidae.
GGGGGGCGGGAACGGGAACGGGGUGGCUGAGGGCUCGGGUGCGGGCCCGGAGAGGUGCGCAGGGGGCUGGGGCGGGGAGACCCGGCUGAGGCGGAGCAUCUGUGGCCGAACGGGCGUGGAGGAACUCUUCAUGGAGAGACUACAUCCAUACUAAUGGUGCAGAGUACCUCUUCCAUCCUGCUGUGUGAAGAUAGAAAUAGCAGCUUGGGACUCAGUUUCUUACAACAGCCAUGCCUGUCUCAUCUCCCAAGGGUUGCUCUUAACUUACUGCAAACUCCAUCCUGUAGAAAGCUGUAUGAUCCUGAAAAGAAUUAACCCAAACCCCAGGUCUUGAUGAUGGCUCUACAUUCAUUUCUCUCUUCCUGUGGAGAAGGAAGCUUCUACAAGGAGUAUAUCCUGAGGAGUAUCGUUAUGGUGGAUUUCUCCUAACAGGAGAAGCAAUGUGGUUUCUCUAAGGAAGUGGGGAAAGCAACUCAGUUGCCAAUGCACUCAUUUUUUAAGUGUCUGGAUGAGUUGUGAAUGUGGCUUAGGUUCACUAAAUGAUUUUUAAAAGACUUCAGUCAAGUUCUGACAGUAACAUAUUGGCCAACUCCAUCCAGGGCUGUUGUUAAUGUUGAUGUAAUUGUAUUAAGCCACAGAACAAAGCAUCCUGAAUGUAUACAUGAUUUGUGCCUGUAUAGAAGUCACAAAUUGGUAUGUAAGUCUGAAGGUUGGUUUAAUAAAGUUGCUAUUCCCUAAAAAA